AUUUAGGUAGCGCCUCGUGAAUUCAUCUCCGGGGGUAGAGCACUGUUUCGGCAAGGGGGUCAUCCCGACUUACCAACCCGAUGCAAACUGCGAAUACCGGAGAAUGUUAUCACGGGAGACACACGGCGGGUGCUAACGUCCGUCGUGAAGAGGGAAACAACCCAGACCGCCAGCUAAGGUCCCAAAGUCAUGGUUAAGUGGGAAACGAUGUGGGAAGGCCCAGACAGCCAGGAUGUUGGCUUAGAAGCAGCCAUCAUUUAAAGAAAGCGUAAUAGCUCACUGGUCGAGUCGGCCUGCGCGGAAGAUGUAACGGGGCUAAACCAUG
Molecule: ribosomal RNA, 325 nt
Filed under: Escherichia coli
Lineage: Bacteria; Pseudomonadati; Pseudomonadota; Gammaproteobacteria; Enterobacterales; Enterobacteriaceae
Description: partial 23S ribosomal RNA
Rfam family: Bacterial large subunit ribosomal RNA
Source: RNAcentral